This 301-nucleotide ribosomal RNA is filed under the name uncultured bacterium. RNAcentral describes it as "partial 16S ribosomal RNA". It matches the Rfam family "Bacterial small subunit ribosomal RNA", at positions 509 to 807 of the family's 1533-position model. The record is from RNAcentral.
CAGUAGCCGCGGUAAUACGGAGGGAGCUAGCGUUGUUCGGAAUUACUGGGCGUAAAGCGCGCGUAGGCGGUUACUCAAGUCAGAGGUGAAAGCCCGGGGCUCAACCCCGGAACUGCCUUUGAAACUAGGUGACUAGAAUCUUGGAGAGGUCAGUGGAAUUCCGAGUGUAGAGGUGAAAUUCGUAGAUAUUCGGAAGAACACCAGUGGCGAAGGCGACUGACUGGACAAGUAUUGACGCUGAGGUGCGAAAGCGUGGGGAGCAAACAGGAUUAGAUACCCGAGUAGUCCCUGUCUCUUAUAC